UACGGGGGGGGCAAGCGUUUGUUCGGAAUUACUGGGCGUAAAGGGCUCGCAGGCGGCCGACUAAGUCAGACGUGAAAUCCCUUGGCUUAACCAAGGAAUGGCGUCUGAUACUGGACGGCUUGAAUCCGGGAGAGGGAUGUGGAAUUCCAGGUGUAGCGGUGAAAUGCGUAGAUAUCUGGAGGAACACCGGUGGCGAAGGCGGCAUCCUGGACCGGUAUUGACGCUGAGGAGCGAAAGCCAGGGGAGCCAAACGGG
RNAcentral lists this ribosomal RNA (255 nucleotides) under uncultured bacterium. RNAcentral's name for it is "partial 16S ribosomal RNA". It matches the Rfam family "Bacterial small subunit ribosomal RNA", at positions 524 to 777 of the family's 1533-position model. The record is from RNAcentral.